Non-coding RNA from Salmo salar (Atlantic salmon), 45 nucleotides. Lineage: Eukaryota; Metazoa; Chordata; Actinopteri; Salmoniformes; Salmonidae. The record is from Rfam.
CCAAAGGCUCUUUUUAGAGCCAUUCACAUUGCAAUGAGUAUUCUU